GAGUCAUGCUUAAAGAUGUCCCAAAUGAAUGGUGAAGGUUACAUCCUCCACAAACAUGAACUGCGAGGAAAUAAAUGCAAAGUGCCCUGUGAGACCCUCCAGAGACAGCCAGGAAGAAGUCUCUCCCUGGUAGACCCCACAGUCCAAGUGUGGGUUGGGGCCACAGGCCCCUGGGGCAGGAAGUGGAUGGGAGGGUAGCCUGGACAGGGCUCUGUGAAUAGCAGAACAUCCCUCUCCAUCUUGGGGCUCUGGCAUCCUGCAGAUCACAUCCCGUGUCCUCCAUCUGCGGCAUCCUGUGGCCAACCUAACCUCUCUGAACCCCAGCUUCCUGGCCUUGGAAAUGGAGCAACACUGGUUAAAGCACUCCCCGGAGGGACGCUCUGAGGACAGGAAGCACCUGGACAGGGUCUGCCCAGAGCUUCCAGCACACAUCGCUGCUGCCCAGCACUCAUGGAACCUUCUACUUCAAGAUGGAAUAUAGGAGCCCCCAUCAUCUGGCUCCAUGUGGAUGAAGACCUGCAUUUAUUGCCUUUACAGUCAUGUGCUCCCUGGACAGUGAGAUGAGUGCUCCACCAAGAGACAGAGUCAGCGCAGGCAGGUGCAACUUGGCCCUUGAACGGUGGAUUCCCGAUGGCAGGAUCUUGGACUUUUCUACUUUCUCUGGAGAGCAAGACAGGGAGAGCCAGCUUAACCAUGGCCUGGAGAGGUGAUCUGCCAGGAAGAAAGGGGGAGAGGCUGCCUAAGGAUGAAGAGGGGCACACGCAUAUUCCCAAGAACAAACGUGAGAACUGUACAGCACCUGAACCGAGCACUCAGUGUCUGAAGCCAGAGGGGAAGAGUUUUGUACCUCCGAAGUGGGUGUCCCUGGUUCGCCCUGAGGCUCCUGAGUGAGUGAUGGGCAUCUUAAGAUGCAAAACCUCAUGAAGAAGAGUUCACAACCAGGUACGCCGCGAGAGGACCAGCUCUUUGGAGAUGAAAUGCAGCACAUGUUAAGUCAUGGGUUCAAGUCAAACAUGCUCUAACGGACACAUAGUGGAACCAAAGGCAUAGUUUAGCAGCAGGUCUUCCGGAAAACAAGCAACCAACACAAGCAAAACCCUGACUUGCUAAGACAGAAGGUGGGAGUGGGAGCAGCUUUGACAAGGUCAGGUUAUUCUACAUAUUGCGUUUGUGUAAAUUAGAGCAAGAGCCCCCUGCUGGGUGGAUGUGGCACUGCUAGACCAUGGCUUGGCAGGUCCAAGGCAACUUUCUU
Molecule: long non-coding RNA, 1252 nt
Filed under: Canis lupus familiaris (dog)
Lineage: Eukaryota; Metazoa; Chordata; Mammalia; Carnivora; Canidae
Description: lncRNA (ENSCAFG00000056021.1)
Source: RNAcentral